UUCUUUUGGAGAGUUUGAUCCUGGCUCAGGACGAACGCUGGCGGCGUGCCUAAUACAUGCAAGUCGAGCGGACCAAAUCGGAGCUUGCUCUGAUUUGGUCAGCGGCGGACGG
This 112-nucleotide ribosomal RNA is filed under the name Geobacillus thermoleovorans. RNAcentral's name for it is "partial 16S ribosomal RNA". It matches the Rfam family "Bacterial small subunit ribosomal RNA", at positions 1 to 105 of the family's 1533-position model. Lineage: Bacteria; Bacillati; Bacillota; Bacilli; Caryophanales; Anoxybacillaceae. The record is from RNAcentral.